This 408-nucleotide ribosomal RNA is filed under the name uncultured bacterium. RNAcentral's name for it is "partial 16S ribosomal RNA". It matches the Rfam family "Bacterial small subunit ribosomal RNA", at positions 29 to 526 of the family's 1533-position model. The record is from RNAcentral.
AGUGAACGCUGGCGGCGUGCCUAAUACAUGCAAGUCGAACGGAGUGGCGCACGGGUGAGUAAUAUAUAGCUAAUCUGCCCCUUGCUGGAGGACAACAGUUAGAAAUGACUGCUAAUACUCCAUAGCAAGGGAUGAGACUAUAUCGUAUUAGCUAGUCGGUGGGGUAACUCCCUACCGAGGCUAUGACGCGUAACUGUUCUGAGAGGAGUAGCAGUAGCAUUGGAACUGAGACACGGUGCAAACUCCUACGGGAGGGAGCAGUAGGGAAUAUUGCGCAAUGGGGGGAACCCUGACGCAGCAACGCCGCGUGGAGGAUGACACUUUUCGUGGAGUAAACUCCUUUUGUUAGGUAAGCGGUACCUAACGAAUAAGCACCGGCUAACUCCGUGCCAGCGGCCGCGGUAAUAC